This 389-nucleotide long non-coding RNA is filed under the name Homo sapiens (human). RNAcentral describes it as "non-protein coding lnc-RAPGEF2-3:1". Lineage: Eukaryota; Metazoa; Chordata; Mammalia; Primates; Hominidae. The record is from RNAcentral.
AGAUGGAAGAUGAUGCCUAGUGGACAGCAAAGGCCUUGAUGAAUACGUGAAGGAACUAGGAGUGGGAAUAGCUUUGUGAAAAAUGGGCACAAUGGCCAAGCCAGAGUGUAUCAUCAUUUGUGAUGACAAAAACCUCACCAUAAAAACUCAGAGCACUUAGAAAACAGCACAGUUUUCUCGUACCCUGGGAGAGAAGUUUGAAGAAACUACAGCUCAUAGCAAAAAAACUCAGACUCUCUACAACUUUACAGAUGGAUCAUUGGUUCAGCAUCAGGAGUGGGAUGGGAAGAAAAGCACAAUAACAAGAAAAUUGAAAGAUGGGAAAUUCAUGGUAGACUGUGUCAUGAACAAUGUCACCUGUUCUCAGAUCUAUAAAAAAGUAGAAUAAA